Molecule: ribosomal RNA, 429 nt
Filed under: Actinomycetes bacterium
Lineage: Bacteria; Bacillati; Actinomycetota; Actinomycetes
Description: Actinobacteria bacterium partial 16S ribosomal RNA
Rfam family: Bacterial small subunit ribosomal RNA
Source: RNAcentral
UAGGGAAUCUUCCGCAAUGGGCGAAAGCCUGACGGAGCAACGCCGCGUGAGUGAUGAAGGUCUUCGGAUCGUAAAACUCUGUUAUUAGGGAAGAACAAAUGUGUAAGUAACUAUGCACGUCUUGACGGUACCUAAUCAGAAAGCCACGGCUAACGACGUGCCAGCAGCCGCGGUAAUACGUAGGUGGCAAGCGUUAUCCGGAAUUAUUGGGCGUAAAGCGCGCGUAGGCGGUUUUUUAAGUCUGAUGUGAAAGCCCACGGCUCAACCGUGGAGGGUCAUUGGAAACUGGAAAACUUGAGUGCAGAAGAGGAAAGUGGAAUUCCAUGUGUAGCGGUGAAAUGCGCAGAGAUAUGGAGGAACACCAGUGGCGAAGGCGACUUUCUGGUCUGUAACUGACGCUGAUGUGCGAAAGCGUGGGGAUCAAACAGG